GACCGCGUAGCUCAGUUGGCAGAGCAUUGGGCUAGUAUUCCAAAGGUCGUAGGUUCGAUUCCCACCGUGGCG
This is a non-coding RNA of Paramuricea clavata, 72 nucleotides long. Lineage: Eukaryota; Metazoa; Cnidaria; Anthozoa; Malacalcyonacea; Plexauridae. The record is from the annotation of a GenBank genome assembly.